Molecule: long non-coding RNA, 200 nt
Organism: Onychostruthus taczanowskii (white-rumped snowfinch)
Lineage: Eukaryota; Metazoa; Chordata; Aves; Passeriformes; Passeridae
Exons: 3
Source: RefSeq, a predicted model, not a curated record
GCUGGCGGGGGGGCCCGUGCCAGCUGUGCCUGUGCCUGCCCGGGGGGGCCGUGCGCUGCGUCCCCUACUGUCCCCUCCGCGAGUCCGGCUGUCCCCAGGGCCAGGCGCUGCGGGAAGGGGACGCCGGCUCCUGCUGCUCCUGCGGCCCCGCCGGUGACAACGCCGCGGCCACCCAGCCCGGGAUGACGACGGCGCUGUCC